RNAcentral lists this ribosomal RNA (406 nucleotides) under uncultured bacterium. RNAcentral's name for it is "partial 16S ribosomal RNA". It matches the Rfam family "Bacterial small subunit ribosomal RNA", at positions 30 to 526 of the family's 1533-position model. The record is from RNAcentral.
AUUGAACGCUGGCGGCAGGCUUAACACAUGCAAGUCGAACGAGUGGCGGACGGGUGAGUAAUGUCUGGGAAACUGCCUGAUGGAGGGGGAUAACUACUGGAAACGGUAGCCAAUACCGCAUACCAUCAGAUUUGCCCAGAUGGGAUUAGCGAGUAGGUGGGGUAAUGGCUAACCUAGGCGACGAUCCCUAGCUGGUCUGAGAGGUUGACGCGCCACACUGGAACGGGGACACGGUCCAGACUCCUACGGGAGGAAGCAGUGGGGAAUAUUGCACAAUGGACGAAAGCCUGAGGCAGCCAUGCCGCGUGUGUGAAGAAGGCCUUGGGGUUGUAAAGCACGUUCAGCGAGGAGGCGUUACCCGCAGAAGAAGCACCGGCUAACUCCGUGCCAGCAGCCGCGGUAAUAC